This 253-nucleotide ribosomal RNA is filed under the name uncultured bacterium. RNAcentral describes it as "partial 16S ribosomal RNA". It matches the Rfam family "Bacterial small subunit ribosomal RNA", at positions 524 to 776 of the family's 1533-position model. The record is from RNAcentral.
UACAGAGGUCUCAAGCGUUGUUCGGAUUCAUUGGGCGUAAAGGGUGCGUAGGCGGCGCGGUAAGUCGGGUGUGAAAUUUCGGAGCUUAACUCCGAAACUGCAUUCGAUACUGCGGUGCUUGAGGACUGGAGAGGAGACUGGAAUUUACGGUGUAGCGGUGAAAUGCGUAGAUAUCGUAAGGAAGACCAGUGGCGAAGGCGGGUCUCUGGACAGUUCCUGACGCUGAGGCACGAAGGUCAGGGGAGCAAACGGG